GGGGAACGGAGGAACUGCCAGUGGGGUUUCCUGUAACUGUGCUGCUCUUGUCUGCAUCUACAUUUGGGGGCGGCUUCUGCCCUGGGGAGUGUGCAUCUCCUCCUAACGAUAACCCAGCUCGGGAAGAGAAACUUCAGUGUGGGCCGGGGUUCAAGGCGCGGAGAUCUUGAGUGCAGCGCGAGCGCGGGAUCCCCAGGAACCCCCUGCUAGAGACCGCCGCACGCGCGGGCCCGGCGUUCGUUGUUUUGGCUACGGCGCGGCGCGGCGCUGGCAACCCCGCGGCCCCUCCCCUGGGUGCGCGCGCAACCUGGGCGCCAUGGCGGCGGCGGCGGCGGCAGGCCGGCGGUCUGAGGCUGUGAGUCCGCAGUGGGCGCCGCCCCAGCACGACCCGGCCGGGGCAGCGGCGGGGCUGGGCGAUUGUGAGGACACACCGGUCCGGCCGCUGUGCAACCCCCGCGGCAUCUGCUCGCGCGCUUACUUCCUGGUGCUGAUGGUGUUCGUGCACCUGUACCUGGGCAACGUGCUGGCGCUGCUGCUCUUCGUACACUACAGCAACGGCGACGACAGCAGCGACCCCGGGCCCCAGCGCCGGGCCCAGGGCCCCGGGCCCGCGCCAACCUUAGCUCCCCUCACGCGGCUGGAGGGCAUCAAGGUGGGGUAUGAGCGCAAGGUCCAGCUGGUCGCCGACAGGGAUCACUUCAUCCGAACCCUCAGCCUCAAGCCUCUGCUCUUCGAAAUCCCUGGCUUCCUGAGUGAUGAGGAGUGUCGGCUCAUCAUCCACCUGGCACAGAUGAAGGGGUUACAACGCAGCCAGAUCCUGCCCACCGAAGAGUAUGAGGAAGCAAUGGGCACAAUGCAAAUCAGCCAGCUGGACCUCUUCCAGCUGCUGGACCAAAACCAUGAUGGUCGCCUGCAGCUCCAUGAGGUCCUGGCCCAGACUCGCCUGGGAAAUGGACGGUGGAUGACUCCAGAGAACAUUCAGGAGAUGUACUCUGCGAUCAAGGCUGACCCUGAUGGUGAUGGAGUGCUGAGCCGGCAGGAGUUCUCCAACAUGGACCUUCGUGACUUUCACAAGUAUAUGAGGAGCCACAAGGCAGAGUCCAGCCAGCUGGUGCGGAACAGCCACCACACGUGGCUCUACCAGGGCGAAGGUGCCCACCACGUUAUGCGCACCAUCCGCCAGAGGGUACUGCGCCUCACCCGCCUGUCACCUGAGAUCGUGGAGCUCAGCGAGCCGCUGCAGGUCGUGCGGUAUGGUGAGGGAGGCCACUACCAUGCCCAUGUGGACAGCGGGCCUGUGUACCCAGAGACCAUCUGCUCCCAUACCAAGCUGGUAGCCAAUGAGUCUGUACCCUUCGAGACCUCCUGCCGCUACAUGACAGUGCUGUUUUAUUUGAACAACGUCACCGGUGGGGGCGAGACUGUCUUUCCUGUAGCAGACAACAGAACCUAUGACGAAAUGAGUCUGAUUCAGGACGAUGUUGACCUCCGUGACACUCGGAGGCACUGUGACAAGGGGAACCUGCGUGUCAAGCCCCGCCAGGGCACAGCAGUCUUCUGGUACAACUACCUGCCUGAUGGGCAAGUGCCUCCCAAAGACCAUCCUCAGUGACUUCAGCAGCCUGCACCUGUGCAGCCUCCUGGGCUCUCUGGAACCCUGUCAUUCCUUGAUGCCCCAGCCUUCCAGCUGACUGGGCUGGGGACACGUGCACCUUGGUAGCCCAGACUGGGAAGGGCUGCAGACAGGCCUGGCAGCAAGAAAGCUGAUUUCAGAGAGCCAGUGGUGUUGAUAAGGCAUUCGCUGGAGAAAGAUGCUGAGCCCCCAAGGAGGCCUUGUGGCCAGAUGUCUGCCACUGAAGGUGUGCACAGCUGGGCCUACCCUUGCCAUGCACUUGGGCAAUAUGAGGACAAGCUCAGGUUGGGUGGGCGACGUGGACGACUACUCGCUGCACGGGGGCUGCCUGGUCACGCGCGGCACUAAGUGGAUCGCCAACAACUGGAUCAACGUGGACCCCAGCCGGGCGCGGCAGGCGCUGUUCCAGCAGGAGAUGGCGCGCCU
RNA transcript from Balaenoptera musculus (blue whale), 2059 nucleotides. It is a transcript of the gene named prolyl 4-hydroxylase, transmembrane, with no coding region annotated. NCBI's taxonomy places the organism in Eukaryota, Metazoa, Chordata, Mammalia, Artiodactyla, Balaenopteridae. The transcript is spliced from 10 exons. The record is from RefSeq and is a predicted model, not a curated record.